UGAGUACGAGACGCUAAGGCGUCGAAGUAGUGGAUGUCAUACUUCCAAGAAAAGCUUGCACUGUCAUAAGUAAAAAACGCCUGUACCAUAACCGACACAGGUGGGUAGGUAGAGUAUACUAAGGGGCGCGAGAUAACUCUCUCUAAGGAACUCGGCAAAAUAACUCCGUAACUUCGGGAGAAGGAGUGCCUUAUUCGUAAGGCUGCAAUAACAAGAUCCAAGCAACUGUUUAUCAAAAACACAGGUCUCCGCUAAGUCGUAAGACGAUGUAUGGGGGCUGACGCCUGCCCAGUGCCAGAAGGUUAAAGAAGUCGGUUAGCAUUAGCGAAGCUGGUAACUGAAGCCCUGGUGAACGGCGGCCGUAACUAUAACGGUCCUAAGGUAGCGAAAUUCCUUGUCGGGUAAGUUCCGACCCGCACGAAAGGCGUAAUGAUUUGGAUACUGUCUCGGAGAGGGGCUCGGUGAAAUAGACUUGUCUGUGAAGAUGCGGACUACCUGCACCAGGACAGAAAGACCCUAUGAAGCUUUACUGUAACUUGAAAUUGAAAUUGGACUUUAUUCGCGCAGUAUAGGUGGGAGGUGUUGAUUAUAAUCUUGCGGGAUUAUUGGAGCCAUCAGUGAGAUACCACUCUUGUAAUGUUAGAUUUCUAACUUUGAAUCAUUAUCUGGUCAAAGAACAGUUUCAGGCGGGCAGUUUGACUGGGGCGGUCGCCUCCUAAAUGGUAACGGAGGCGUACAAAGGUUUCCUCUGAACGGGUAGAAAUCGUAUCUAGAGUGUAAAGGCAUAAGGAAGCUUGACUGUGAGACCUACAAGUCGAGCAGGGACGAAAGUCGGUCUUAGUGAUCUGACGGUACUGAGUGGAAAGGCCGUCACUCAACGGAUAAAAGUUACUCUAGGAUAACAGGCUGAUCUCCCCCAAGAGUUCACAUCGACGGGGAGGUUUGGCACCUUGAUGUCGGCUCAUCGCAUCCUGGGGCGGUGGUACGUCCCAAGGGUUGGGCUGUUCGCCCAUGAAAGCGGUACGCGAGCUGGGUUCAGAACGUCGUGAGACAGUUCGGUCCAUAUCCGGUGUAGGCGUUAGAAUAUUGAGAGGAGCCUUCUUUAGUACGAGAGGACCGAGAAGGACAUACCUCUGGUGUACCAGUUAUCGUGCCAACGGUAAACGCUGGGUAGCUAUGUAUGGAGUGGAUAACCGCUGAAAGCAUCUAAGUGGGAAGCCCACCUCAAGAUAAGUAUUCUCAUC
RNAcentral lists this ribosomal RNA (1244 nucleotides) under metagenome. RNAcentral's name for it is "bacterial LSU rRNA". It matches the Rfam family "Bacterial large subunit ribosomal RNA", at positions 1564 to 2818 of the family's 2925-position model. The record is from RNAcentral.